Vicugna pacos (alpaca) is the source of this 938-nucleotide non-coding RNA. The record is from RefSeq and is a predicted model, not a curated record. Lineage: Eukaryota; Metazoa; Chordata; Mammalia; Artiodactyla; Camelidae.
GAUGCCAAGGAAUCUGGCUUUUUAGAUGAUUUCUCUGAGUUCCAGUAUCCCAUUGGUAUCAAGGAUCCUGCCAAUUUAAACUUUCACUCCAAUUCAAAUAUUCCACUCCCUAGUUUUGAUAUUAUAGUAGAAGCUGAACCGCCAGAUGUUGUGAAGUUUGCCAUAUCAUCAGGUGCUGUGAAUCAAUUUUUUAAGUGGAAGACAUAUUUUCUGGGGGUUUUCAGUCUAAGAUACAACAAAAUCAUCUCCUAUUCAAAGAUACUGGCAACUUUCUCAAGGUCAACUUCCAAACAGGUAGCAGACAAAACCUUGAUUCUUGAUUAAUGAAAAGAAUACCUUCAGAAUGGAAAAGACAAAGGCACAGCCAAGAAGGUUUUGAGGAUAUGAGCAAAUAACUUCAAAAAAUCGCAGAGUCCCAUUAGCAGUGUUUAUUACAUGUUCAUUCUCACAUCCCCUCUCCAUUACAGUACCAUGCCUUUAUUAUCCAUUAGGGCCAACAAUAUUGCUUCAAAAUACCUUGUGACAAUUGCCCCAUUCACCUGCUUUGCUUCUGGCAAACUCUGGAAUUAGAAAAAGGUCCUUUCUAGCAACCAUAUAAAAAUAGUUUAUAUUGUUAAUGGCUCAAAAGUGCAGGUACAAUUUUCACACGGAUAUUCUAGCCAUCUUUUGUGUUUCUGUCUCCAGAAGAAGAUGGUCUUAACUUUUGACAAAUCUUAUGACAGAUGUGUCUAAUAUCGUGAUGGCCACUCUAGAAUUAAUACCACCCAUAAUAAAUCACUAUUUUAUUGUUAAUGUUUUUUAUUGUUAUCUGAGUUUGGUAAACAAAAUUAAAAUAGUUGAGACUCAUCAAUAUUGUGCAGUGUUUGCUUAACUUGCUAUUUAUCCCAUUCAACCUUGCUAACCUAAGAAAACUGGUAACAUAUGUCCUUUACCAAGAA